CAGUCGCCGCGGUAAUACGUAGGUGGCAAGCGUUGUCCGGAAUUAUUGGGCGUAAAGGGCUCGCAGGCGGUUUCUUAAGUCUGAUGUGAAAGCCCCCGGCUCAACCGGGGAGGGUCAUUGGAAACUGGGAAACUUGAGUGCAGAAGAGGAGAGUGGAAUUCCACGUGUAGCGGUGAAGUGCGUAGAGAUGUGGAGGAACUCCAGUGGCGAAGGCGACUCUCUGGUCUGUAACUGACGCUGAGGAGCGAAAGCGUGGGGAGCAAACAGGAUUAGAUACCCGGGUAGUCCCUGUCUCUUAUAC
This 301-nucleotide ribosomal RNA is filed under the name uncultured bacterium. RNAcentral's name for it is "partial 16S ribosomal RNA". It matches the Rfam family "Bacterial small subunit ribosomal RNA", at positions 509 to 807 of the family's 1533-position model. The record is from RNAcentral.